UAUUUCAAAAUUGGUUCCAUCAACGAUUUCUUCAUCUUCUAUACUUGAUUCAGUCUAACAGAGAAGAUGAGAAAGAAAGGUCUUUCUGAGGCUAAACUUUUUAGACUGUUGCUAAACAAAAAUAAAAUUCCUUGAACAAAACAAAAACAUUUUCCUAUUGAAGAAUCAAGAAGGAUGUAUUCCAGCAUCACCAAUCAAGAACAGUUCUUCAUCAAAGUUCCUUUGCAGAGAAUGAGGAUGUCUUGGUGAUCUGAUGACCACAAAACAGACUGUACUUGUCCACUUGACUUCUCAUCAUCUGACAGAUUCCCUCAGUCUCUAUGAGUUCCUCCUCCCAAGAGAACGUCAGUCAAUAUUAUCUUUGAGUCUCACAAGAACUGAACAAUCUGUCAGGAUCAAAACAAGAGAGAACACCUUUAGGGAUUGAGCUCAGCUAUAAUAAAAAGAAUACAGCAGGGACAUACUGUACAGUAUAAGAGAACGUUUGACUUGAAGAACACGAUGUGUUUUCCCAAAGAGUUUUACGGCAGGAAGCUUGAAUCACAUAAUCAUGUAAGUCUGAGUACAUUUACUCAUUUAUUAAAUUUACUGCUGUUCAUUUCAUCAUUUCAUUAUUGGAUCAAAUUUUACAAGCAUGCCUGCUGAAAAGAGCAUCUUAUUUUUAUUAUUAGAUAUCAGACUUAAUUAUUCAGUGAACUAGCUCAAUACUUUUUGGUCUAACGAAAGAAUUGAGAAAGAAAACUAAGCUGUUGCCAUGUCUGUUAUUGAUAAAUUAAAGUCUAGACAUGACAGAGGGUUUUCAGAUACAGUAAGUCAGAAUCAUGUUUAAUAUUAAUAAAGGUGAAAAUUCAGUAGAAGGUCAGAGGUCUUGAAUAUAUUGUAAGUAAAUAAAAAAGUAUAAGUAAAUCUGAGAAAGAUAAAUGACUAUUUUGUGGUUAAGCCUAGGAGUUUGAUACUCUGUUGAAAAAAUAAGUCAAAUAGUCAAUAUAGUCAUCUAAAACCUACCAUAUAUUGAUAACAUUUGGCGACCACAGACCACAUUGCACUGUGAGGUCAAUGUAGGCAUGAUGUGGGCUUGAUUGGGUUCCAUGUUGGACUAUUUGAAUUAUCCCCAGCUGGUUGUGUCCGUGAUAAUCAGGUAAGUUUGAAAGAGUCUCACAACUGUGCCAAUGCAUUUACAAUACCAUCGAUGUAUUGUAUAAUUGAGUAAAUAUGAUUCCUUGAUUUACCUUUGUAAAGAAAUCUCAUUGCUCUCUGCUGUCUUUACCUGCAUCAGCCACCGUAAAGGGGAAGGGGUGAGCGUGGGACUGAGCCGUUGGUUGCAAUUUACAACCUCAACGCUAGAUGCCGCUAAAAAAUGCAAAUGCAAGCCUGUAGCUCUAACCCAAUCAUAACCUAUAUCAGUAAACCAGAGCAUAAAAUGUGAUUGGUCGACAGGGGUGUUGAUCCAGGACCAACAAGGAUGUUGACUGAGGAAAUGUGCUGUUUGUACUGUAAAUAAAUGUUCUGUUAAUAACCUUCAGGUAAAAAAGUCGCAAAUGCUCUUUGCCACCUUGUAUGACACAUAUACAGUAUUUUUGCCUUGUUUUCCGGUGAAAUACCUAAGGUAAUGACACUAAGAUGUGUUUUUAGAGAAUAUACUACUAACUACUUGAAUUAAGUAAUUAGCUAAUACAUUUUUUUUUAUCUAGUCUGUGAGAAAGAUAAUUAUUAUUUUUUAUUAUUUAUUGAGGAAGAGGAUGAUGUAGACAGUAAACUUUUUUUCACUGAUAGCUCAUUACGAACUAUGAAGAAUGACCUGCAGAGGGCAGCAGAGAAGAUCUAGAACAGGGUUCUCCAACCUUUUUGUGACUGAGGGCCCCAUGAAGGGAUAAAAUAGUCUCAAGGGCUACUUGUUUGAUAUACUCCAGUGUGUCUGUAUACACACACACACACACACACACACAUGCAUAUAUAUAUAUGCC
Molecule: long non-coding RNA, 1964 nt
Organism: Carassius auratus (goldfish)
Lineage: Eukaryota; Metazoa; Chordata; Actinopteri; Cypriniformes; Cyprinidae
Exons: 3
Source: RefSeq, a predicted model, not a curated record